GAUGAACGCUGGCGGCGUGCCUAAUACAUGCAAGUCGAGCGAACAGACGAGGAGCUUGCUCCUCUGACGUUAGCGGCGGACGGGUGAGUAACACGUGGAUAACCUACCUAUAAGACUGGGAUAACUUCGGGAAACCGGAGCUAAUACCGGAUAAUAUAUUGAACCGCAUGGUUCAAUAGUGAAAGACGGUUUUGCUGUCACUUAUAGAUGGAUCCGCGCCGCAUUAGCUAGUUGGUAAGGUAACGGCUUACCAAGGCCACGAUGCGUAGCCGACCUGAGAGGGUGAUCGGCCACACUGGAACUGAGACACGGUCCAGACUCCUACGGGAGGCAGCAGUAGGGAAUCUUCCGCAAUGGGCGAAAGCCUGACGGAGCAACGCCGCGUGAGUGAUGAAGGUCUUCGGAUCGUAAAACUCUGUUAUUAGGGAAGAACAAAUGUGUAAGUAACUAUGCACGUCUUGACGGUACCUAAUCAGAAAGCCACGGCUAACUACGUG
Molecule: ribosomal RNA, 497 nt
Filed under: uncultured bacterium
Lineage: Bacteria
Description: partial 16S ribosomal RNA
Rfam family: Bacterial small subunit ribosomal RNA
Source: RNAcentral